This 332-nucleotide ribosomal RNA is filed under the name uncultured soil bacterium. RNAcentral's name for it is "bacterial SSU rRNA". It matches the Rfam family "Bacterial small subunit ribosomal RNA", at positions 26 to 372 of the family's 1533-position model. The record is from RNAcentral.
AGAUUGAACGCUGGCGGCAUGCCUAACACAUGCAAGUCGAACGGGAGUAGCAAUACUCUAGUGGCGGACGGGUGAGGAAUACGUAGGAAUUUGCCCUUAAGUGGGGGAUAACCCGGGGAAACCCGGAUUAAUACCGCAUGACCUCGAAAGAGCAAAGUGGGGGAUCGCAAGACCUCACGCUUUUGGAGAAGCCUACGUCGGAUUAGCUAGUUGGUGAGGUAAUGGCUCACCAAGGCGACGAUCCGUAACUGGUCUGAGAGGAUGAUCAGUCACACCGGAACUGAGACACGGUCCGACUCCUACGGGAGCAGCAGUGGGGAAUAUUGGACAAU